ACUCCUACGGGAGGCAGCAGUGGGGAAUAUUGGACAAUGGGCGCAAGCCUGAUCCAGCCAUGCCGCGUGAGUGAUGAAGGCCCUAGGGUUGUAAAGCUCUUUCACCGGUGAAGAUAAUGACGGUAACCGGAGAAGAAGCCCCGGCUAACUUCGUGCCAGCAGCCGCGGUCAUACGAAGGGGGCUAGCGUUGUUCGGAUUUACUGGGCGUAAAGCGCACGUAGGCGGACUAUUAAGUCAGGGGUGAAAUCCCGGGGCUCAACCCCGGAACUGGCUUUGAUACUGGUAAUCUUGAGUUCGAGAGAGGUGAGUGGAAUUCCGAGUGGAGGGGUUAAAUUCGUAGAUAUUCGGAGGAACACCAGUGGCGGAGGCGGCUCUCUUGCUCGAUACUGACGCUGAGGUGCGAAAGCGUGGGGAGCAAACAGGAUUAGAAACCCCUGUAGUCCC
RNAcentral lists this ribosomal RNA (445 nucleotides) under uncultured organism. RNAcentral's name for it is "partial 16S ribosomal RNA". It matches the Rfam family "Bacterial small subunit ribosomal RNA", at positions 335 to 797 of the family's 1533-position model. The record is from RNAcentral.